Long non-coding RNA from Vespa mandarinia (Asian giant hornet), 6260 nucleotides. NCBI's taxonomy places the organism in Eukaryota, Metazoa, Arthropoda, Insecta, Hymenoptera, Vespidae. The record is from RefSeq and is a predicted model, not a curated record.
UUACUAUUCUGUGUUUAAAAUUCUCGGCUGUUCUAACCGCGUACAUUAUAAUAUAUAAUUAGUAACAGUUAACAGUGUGCUUUAAUUAUAUAUGUUUUAUAAUAUAUAGAUAAGCUACGAAAAACAAAUUGGUAUGUUUGCUUAUAUCGUUAAUUUUUUGAAUGUAUAAUUUACAAUUUGAAAUUAGUUCCCUUCAGGAUGAGUAUAAAACGCUUGAAAGGAGAACAAUGGAUAAAGGAAAUCGUUGAUUCCAAAAGUGAUUCUGAUUAAGAAAGUGAAUAUAAUUUAACAUUUCACAAAAGGAGGAGGAACAAUCCAGCGCGUUACGACAAAGCAGUAUAAACGUUUUAGAAAUGUUUUUUAAAUACGUUAAAUUCCGCGUCAGUCACCCGUCAGGUCACAUUUAUAGAGGACAAAUUCAGUCUACUACCAUUUUCAUAUAUGGGCAUCCUAGGUACGAUGCUGGAUGUCCGUUUUGGCCACAAUUUGCGCACUUUAGUUUUUCUUUACCUGAGGAAUUGCUCAUUUUACAUUUACCCGGUUCUUGGGGUUGGGACCAUUUUACGCAUCUGUACCCCAUAUUGCAAUUAGAGCUGGCAUGCCCCACUCUUUGGCAGUUUUUGCAUUGGAAUAUUUUGGAUCUUUUCAGUUUCUCCCAUCUUACUCUUUGAUUGAGGAGUAUUUUAGUUCAUGUGGGUCGCUGUUGCAAUCGAUUUGGAUAAUGAAGUGGUUAUAACGACGUAAGGACGAAUAAAAAAAAAUGUAAGCAAAGAAAAAGAAAAAGGAGGAAGUAUACAUAGAAGCAAUACGUAAUUUUACAACCGAUCUAAUUUAAAAGAAAAAAGAAAAAGAAAGAUGGAGGUAUAUAAUGAGUAGUGAUACGUAUAUAAUCGUUACAGUAUGUCAAAUUCCUUCGGAUUGAGGACAAUUGUGUUUCAGUAAUAAUUAUAUUAAUCAUAUUUAAAAGGGAAAAAUAUUUUCUAUGUUAAUGGGAAAGAAAAGAGAAGAAAAAAAGGAAAAAAAAAAAAAGAAACGCAAGUAUGGACAUCAAAGAAUUUCUUGAAUUUGACAAAUUCACCAUGGAUUUUAUCGUAAAUUAUAUGGAAACAUUGAGAGAUAGAUCUGUUUUACCGAACAUUGAAUCAGAAUAUCUCAGUCAAAUAAUACCAGAGGAAGCACCUAAAAAAGCAGAGACCUGGCAAGAAGUUUUCAAAGAUAUUGAAAGAGUAAUUAUGCCUGAGAUAACCCACUGAAAUUCACCUAAUUUCUACGCUUAUUAUCCUUCUUCCCAAUCGUAUGCGUCCAUCAUUGGCGAACUUUUAUGCGCCGGAAUUGGUGGUGUUGGAUUUUCUUGGAUAUGUUCGCCCGCCUUUACCGAAUUAGAAGUUAUAACAUUGAAUUGGGUUGGAAAAAUGUUAAAUCUACCAUUCGAAUUCUUAAAUUGCUGCAAUGGAUCCGGAGGUGUUAUACAGGUAAAAAAAAAAAAAAAAAUAUGCCGUGAUACUUUUCGUCGGGCUAAUGUAAUUUCAAAUGGAUACCGUUAUAAGAAAUAUCGUUAUCUCAUAAAAGAUAGUUAAAACAACUAUUAGUCACAUUAACCGUUUACGUACCAUGAGCCAUUUUCACGCUCUUUAAAUUUUGUGUCGAAAAAAGCCAAGGCAUUUGGCUGAAACAGACAACUGACGGCCCAUCCGAAAUUUGUCGAAACGCGCUCAGCCUUUCAGACGCAUGUACGUCGCAUCGCUAUCAAUAAUCCAAUUUGUAUUUUGUUGUUACCUAUUCUAAAUUAAUAGAAUAUAUAUAUAUAUUUUUUUUUCAUUCAUAACUGAAUGUUGGUAUAAAAGAAGCAAACACGAAAAGCGCGGCCUCGUUGUUUACCACAUUGAACAUGAUAAACGCUAUCGCGCUCUUCGGUUUUUUUCGAUGUAUAAUCGAAGAAACUCGAUCGCGCUCCUUGGCGUUUUUCGACCAUGUUUUGUCAAAACCCUCUGGUACGCAAACGGUUAAUAUUAAUUAGCCAAAUUGGUUAAUCGAUUUAAUCAUAAAAUUCCAUUAGUAGUUAGGUCAACAUAUAUACAUAUAUUAAGGGGACCGGAAAGUAAUGUCGCUUUCUUAAAUUGAAUUCAAACGAAUAAAUUUUUAACAAUUUUUAAAAAUCAAAUAUCGACAUGUGCAGAAACGACAUUACUUUCCGGUCCGCCUAUUAGUAGAGACAUUUCGUUGACUUUUUCCGUUUAACACGUUCCGUGCCAAGCCAUUUUUGUCUGACUUGUCGUUCAGGCCAUUCGAUAUUUUGACUAAACAAAAAAAAAAAUGACUGCGUGUACCACCGGUGGUACACAUGGCACGGAAUGUGUUAAAGAAAAAGAAUCAAAGUAAUUUUUCAUGCGAUGAUCAUCGUGUUUUCUUCUAAAUACGAAUAAUAAUAAUAAUAGUAGUAAUAAUAAUAAUAAUAAUAAUAAUAAUAAUAAUAAUAAUAAUAAUAAUAAUAAUAAUAAUAAUAAAAAGAACGUUAUCGAUAGUAACAAAGAAGCAUUUAUAUAAAAAAAGAAAAUAAAUACGAAUGUAACGUAACUUCGUAUUGUAACUUCGAUUUACUCGAAAAAUAUUGAAUUAAUUAAUUAAACGAUAUUAUUUACUCGUAUGAAAAUAAUAGAAAAAGAAAAAGUAAAUAUGAAUGAAAAAAUUGAUUUAAGAGAGAUCGGAUAAAAAGAGAAGAAAAAAAAAAAAAAAAAAAAAUUUCGGGCUCGUCCGGGAUUUGAACCCGGGACCUCUCGCACCCUAAGCGAGAAUCAUACCCCUAGACCAACGAGCCAUAGCAGUACUUGUUGAGCAUUCGAAGAGGACGGACGUGCGGAUCGGUGCUCUUGUGAGUGAAGAAAGACAAUUCAAUCCCCUACGGGGAAAACGCAAUAUAACAAAAAAAAUAAUGUCAGUUACCGCAAGACGGGUGCUUUCCUUUUUCAAUUGUGAUAUUGUGUUAGUAUUUUUUGCAAAGCAGACAACAAAAUUAUAAAGAAUACGUGAAGUGGGCUCAUCCAAGGCCCUUUCAUGGAUCCAAAAAAAAAAUCAUGGCGUCAAACCAAAAAAGAAAGCUUGAGAAAAGCACUUCGUCGGACGAAGUGAACAAACUGUUGAAAAAAAAUAUCAAAAGCUUCGGCAACGAUUUCAAUACCAGGAGCUUGGUAAGACUACUCGAAAAUAACUGCCAGGCAAAGCCAAAUACUAACGCUAUUAGAAACAAAGAAAAUGAGAGGACCGAAGGGUUCCUCAUACCAAGAAAAACAGCAUCACCAACAAGCACAGUCAGUAACCAAGGCCCAAGCUAUAAAUCUGAUAACAGAUUCGAGGCGCUAUCGGAUGACAUGAGCCUUACGGAAAAGGGGGACAACGAUAAGGCCAACAAAGCCACAGUUAGUAACAACAACCAGAGAACCCAUAAAAUCCGAAUGCCCCUUAUAUAUAUACAAAAUGCUAACCUGAGGGACAUAAUCAUCUUGUUUAACGAAAGCAAGAUUUAGAAGGAUUCGUUUUUAUUAAAACAAAUAGAUAGCGAUAUGACGAGACUGACAGCCAUAGAUAGGGAAACACAUGAAGAAUGCAUAACCGUCCUAAAAACGAAUAACCAGAAAUUCCAUACAUUCACGCCUAAACACACAAAAUGUAAGACCUUUGUGGUAAAAGGAAUUAGGGGGGAUUCGAUACUACGGACGUCUCAACAGCGCUCAAUGCGCUCAACAUGAGAAACGUAAAUAUAGUUAAAACCAGCAAACUACUUUUUGAUAAACAAAACUUAGAUAAAUACUACUUCAUUAUCCAAAUCGAUUGCAACAGCGACCCACAUGAAUUAAAAUACUCCUCAACCAAAGAGUAAGAUGGGAGAAACUGAAAAGACCCAAAAUAUUCCAAUGCAAAAACUGCCAAAGAGUGGAGCAUGCCAGCUCUAAUUGCAAUAUGGGGUACAGAUGCGUAAAAUGGUCCCAACCCCAAGAACCAGGUAAAUGUAAAAUGAGCAAUUCCUUAGAUAAAGAAAAACUAAAGUGCGCAAAUUGUGGCCAAAACGGACAUCCAACAUCGUCUCUAGGAUGCCCAUUUAUGAAAAUGGUAAUGGACAUUAAAAAAAAAAGAGAAAGAAGUAAAAGAUAAGCGUGUAAUGGAUAAAUUCAAUAUAGUUAAUAAAUUUACGGUCCCAAAAAUCUCAUAUGCGAACACAGUGAGGAACAAUGAAAAAAAAGAGAUACACCAGAACAAGAUAACCAGAGAUUAGCCAUUAACAUGACCCAAGCUAAUUAACAAAAUAGUCAACAUAAUCCAGUUGAACAACAGGAAAUUAACGCCAAUAACGAUAUCAACUAUAAUAAUAUAAAUCAAAUAUUAACUAUGCUUAAGGAUAGUCUGAUGGAAAUUAUGGCACAAAUACUAGAAUUAAAUAACAAAGUUACCCAAAACACUAUGAAAAUCGACUUCAUGGCUCAAUGGACUAACAAAUAAGGACUAACAAAAAUAUAAAGAACACGCUGAAAUUGACUGUUAUAAAUGUAAACUCGCUGUGCUCGUUAAAAAAGAGACUAGACUUACAAAAGUACUUAGAAGAGCACAGUUACGACAUUGCAUUGAUAUCAGAAACUAAAUUAAAUAAUAAGCACAAACCAAAAUUUUACAAUUACGAAAUAAUCAGAUCGGAUAGAGCAACAAAUACCAAAGGAGGGGGUAUAGCGAUAUUAAUAAAAGACAACAUAAAAUAUAUUAACAUCACACAGCCAAGGAAGUACACAAUAUUAGAAUACUCAGUUGUGAAAAUAUUGGUAAACGCAAAUAAAUUACUACUCAUAUUUAGCAUAUACGCAACACAGUCAUCAAAAACACAUUUAUUUCGGAACUUGAUCAACUAUUUAGAGAUUUCAGAUUAGGGGACAAUGAAAUUUAUUACAUCAUAGUGGGUGACUUAAAUCCAAGAAAUUCAAUUUGGUGAGAUAAGGCUGCAAAUGAUAGAGGCAGACACCUACAUCAAUGGGAACAAGACAACGGCAUUAAAUUUGAAUCAACAAUAUACUCGGCACUCAACCCCACAUACAUUAGAAGCAGCUCCUAUCUUGACUACUGUAUUGCGGACAGUAGAAUAGAGAUCUUGGAUUUAAUAAGUAACAAAAUACAAACUAAUCUAUAUGAUAGCGACCACAACACAUUAACCGUUAAAAUUGACACAGAUAUGCUUUUUCCAAGGCAUAUCAAUGGCAGCACCCAGAGCAGCUAUCUUCAAUUUCAAAAAAGCGAAUUGGCGUAAGUUUGCUAAACAUGAUUACUUCGAUUGACUCGAAAUUACAGACUAAUAACCAGCUGCUCACAAAUAGAAAUUACUCAAUAGAAGAAAUAGAUGAAAGCAUUAAGAAUCUCGAAUAAAUAAUUAUCAAGUCCAUUAGGGAAAUACCUAAAAAUCAACCAAAUAAAAGUGACUAUUACCAAAAAUAUGUUAGCAACAAUAUCAAGAAGUUACACUUAACAAAGUCCUUUUUAAUAACGAGACUUCACUUUAUUAAAUACCGAAGCCCAUAUAACCACAGCAAUAAAAAUAUGCUAUGGACUACUAGUGACAACUAGUUUAACUUAUGCAGUUCCUACAUUAUUGAAUAUAGGUCCAACUGUAAUUGAAAAAUGAAAAAGAUUUGAAAGAUCUUGGUUGAGAUCAACCCUAAGAACGCACAGAACCGCUGAAUCAGAUUAUAAAAGGAGAAUAAAAAACGAGACCAUUUACAACAAUGUCAAUAUUAAUAAAAUUGACUGGUUUUUCUCUCAAAAUAAUCAGAAAAUAUUUUAAUAAUAUUGAUCGUACAAACAAUAGCUUAAUUACAGACCUUAUUUCACAAGAAGGAGACUCAAUUCUGAGUAAAUUAAAUUCAGGCUACAUUCCACCGCAACUAUUCAUUUAUUGUGACAAAAAUGGUCUAAUCCAAGACUACAAUAAUCUUUCACUAAACUAUCACCGCCGAAGACAUUCUAAGAACAACAAAUUAAUAGUAUCUAGGAUGAAGAUAAUCAGGAGAAUUACACUUUCUCGAAAGCACUACCGAAUAGAGAUUUAAAUGAUAUUGAUAGAUUAUGUAAAAAAUACUUCUGGCUACGAGAAGAUGCAACAUACAUGAACGAUCUACGCUGAAAAACAAGAUUUAAACAAUUUUAAUUACUCAAUACAGAUCAAUAGUAAUCAUAAUACAUCGAUAAGAGAUAUCUUCUAUUCUAAAAAAAAAAAAAAAAAAAAAAAA